UACGUAGGGGGCAAGCGUUGUCCGGAAUCAUUGGGCGUAAAGCGCGUGUAGGCGGUUCGGUAAGUCUGCUGUGAAAGUCCAGGGCUCAACCCUGGGAUGCCGGUGGAUACUGUCGGGCUCGAGUCCGGAAGAGGAGUGUGGAAUCCCUGGUGUAGCGGUGAAAUGCGCAGAUAUCAGGAGGAACACCAAUGGCGAAGGCAGCUCGCUGGGACGUGACUGACGCUGAGACGCGAAAGCGUGGGGAGCAAACAGG
Molecule: ribosomal RNA, 253 nt
Filed under: uncultured bacterium
Lineage: Bacteria
Description: partial 16S ribosomal RNA
Rfam family: Bacterial small subunit ribosomal RNA
Source: RNAcentral